This 253-nucleotide ribosomal RNA is filed under the name uncultured bacterium. RNAcentral's name for it is "partial 16S ribosomal RNA". It matches the Rfam family "Bacterial small subunit ribosomal RNA", at positions 524 to 776 of the family's 1533-position model. The record is from RNAcentral.
UACGUAGGGGGCUAGCGUUGUCCGGAUUUAUUGGGCGUAAAGAGCGUGUAGGCGGCUAGGCAGGUCUGGUGUGAAAACUCGAGGCUUAACCUCGAGAUGUCAUCGGAAACCAUCUGGCUAGAGUCCGGAAGAGGAGAGUGGAAUUCCUGGUGUAGCGGUGAAAUGCGCAGAUAUCAGGAAGAACACCAAUGGCGAAAGCAGCUCUCUGGGACGGUACUGACGCUGAGACGCGAAAGCGUGGGGAGCGAACAGG